UUUUUUUUUUUUUUUUUAAGCAAAAUAACAGUGUUCACAUUUGUACACAUCCCCUGCAUCGCCGCCUUUCCAAAAGUCGUUGGUCACUUGUGGGCGGGGCUGGGGGGGGCAGUGUCAGCCAGCAUUCAUUGGGUCUCUUCCACUGUGGCCUCUGUGACAACCACAAGGUGACAGGCUACACUGAGGGCCCAGUGGGUGACCUCCACACGUGUCUUUCUUUGAAGAGGCUGGUCUUUGAGGGUCAGCAGCACUCACGGUGAAUUCGGCCCCAAGGAACGCCCGUGCCCCUUUGCUCUUCCAGAGAGAGGAGAGGCCUGUUUGGGGGAUGGGCCUGUCACAGUCCCAUCCAGUCGGCUGCUCAAGGCUAAGGAGACCAGGCUGAGUCUCCAAGCAGAGGAUAGAGGGUGGGACUUGGGGUGUGUGAUGAGAUGGGCCCGGCGGGGAAGCCUGUCCCUGCUCCGUGUGGGUGGAAUGCGAGGCUUCUUUUCCACCUUGGAGAGGUGGAGGGGGCCCAGGGGCUGCCGAACAGGGAGGAGGGUUGGGUUAUGCCAGCGUUUGGUCCUCAUGUCAGCCCUCAAAGGGUUAAUGUUGCUUAAAAUCAGAAGGACCCUUGAAUAUCUCCAAAAUCACUCAUAUGCUGCGAAGCCUUAUGAAAACAGAGGUAGGGGAAUGCCUGUUGUGGCUCAGCGGGUUAAGAUCCCAACAUAGUGUCCAUGAGGAUGCAGGCUUGAUCCCUGGCCUCGCUCAGUGGGUUAAGGAUCAGGCGUUGCCACAAGCCUCUGUGUAGAUCGAAGAUGUGGCUGCGAUCUGGUGUGGCUGUGGCUGUGGCAUAGGUCUGCAGCUGCAGCUCUGAUUCAGCCCCUGGCCUGGGAACUUCCAUAUCCUGCAGGUGCAGCUGUUUUAAAAAAAAAAUAUAUAUAUAUAUAUAUAUCAGAAGUGGGGAGAAAUGAAGGUUCUUACUCCCUUGCCACACUCAUUCCAAAGCAGAAAAUGAUGGUGGAACCAUUGCCAAGCAGGUCUGGUUUUGAGAAUUUCGGUCAAGGGAGAAGUUACCCAGAGGAAGCCAUCCUGUUGAAGUGUGUGUGUGUGUGUGUGUGUGUGUGUGUGUGUGUGUGUAUUUUCCCUCCUAUGUAUCUUCUCCUAUCUCUCUGCUCUUUUGAUUUCUUUUCCAAUUUCUCUUCCUCUGUGUGUCUGUGUUCUCUGAACCUCUCUGCUUCCUCUGUCUCUCCUCUCUGUGCCUCUCUUUCUGUAUAUAAUUGAAUUCUCCUUAGAUCAAGGGUGUCAAUGCCACCAGUUUACCCUGAAUCUCAGCACUCUCGUCACCCAAACUACGGUGCUGUAAGUUUGCUCAAAGACUGGGAUUCCAGCUACCAUAAGCCGCCUGCUGCCAUCCCCAAGUUGAGUUUCUCUGUCUGGCAGGGUGAUUAAGCUGUCACCCCUUUUCAAUGAUAAUCCUUUCCUUUCAGCGCCCCCCCCCAUUUCAUUCACUCUUUCCCGCCUGAUAUUCCGUUGAAUCUCACAGCCGCUGCCCCGUCUCCAGUCCCUCUGCGUGCAGAAUGUAUUGUAGAUUGUAAGAAUGUAAUAUAUAUUUAUAAACUUACUGACUGUAAAUAUAAAGUUUGCCUUCCGGGGCUUUAUGGCUGUCCUUUGUCUUUCUAACACACUGACCCCCCCCCUCCCCCCAGGGGACCUGGCGUCCACAGCAAAUGACUCCAAAGCUGCGGCUUUGGGUAAAUGAAAAUGCAGAUUUAAGGAUCCCAGCACAAUCCAAUUACAUCAUGUAAUUCAGAGCUCACUGCUCUCUGCAUUGAGGCGAUGUUGACACAUGAUGACAGAGUAUGUUGUAUACUAAGUAUCUCUCCUGCAGGACCUGAAAGGAUUUGCAAAUAAAUCACACAUGCAAUUCUCUGCUAAAAGCCUGCUGACGGACGGCGGUAAGUGAGAAGCAUGGCAGGCGAGUGAACAUUCCAGCCUCCCUUUGGGCUUCAGAGAGGAAAAGGGCUCUGUCAUUUCUUUGGCUCUCGCUGGUACAUUCAGAUGUCAGCUUCCUGAGGCAGGUAUGUACCCAGGGUGAUUCUGGGCUGAGUUUAAGAAAAAAAAAAAAGUUGAUUUUUAGAUUCCUCUAUUAAUCAAAUCCCCAGAUGAUUCCCCAGAAAAGGAGGUUGCAUGAAAUCCUCAUCUUUGUGCAGAGUAUCAAGUGAUGGAUCAUUCGCUUUUUCAACCAGUAUUUAUUAAACAUCUACUGUAUGCUAGGAACUAUGGAAAACACUGGAGGUGAACAUCAGUAAAUAGGGCAGACCUGUGCUUACUCUUAAAGAGCUUACCUCCAGUGGAGGGGGAGGGGGGAAGGAGAUAAAGAGCAGACAAGAUAAUUUGCAGAUAGUCAUAAAUUGUAUGAAGAUGGGUUACAGAACAGACAAAGAUGGAGUAAACAUUGAACACGUUGGCUGUUUCACCUAGAAACCCUGGAUGCCUGUCUUCUCUCAAAAAUUCAGACGCUCUUUGGGAGUUCCCAUCAUGGCCCAGUGGUAACAAACCCAACUAGUAUCCAUGAAGACAUGGGUUCGAUCCCUGUCCUCGAUCAGUGCGUUAAGGAUCCAGCAUUUCCAUGACCUGUGCUGUAGGUCGCAGACGUGGCUUGGGUCCUGUGCUGCUGUGGCUGUGGUGUAGGCCAGAAACUGUAGCUCUGUUUCAACCCCUAGCCUGGGAACUCCCAUAUGCUGAAGGAGUGGCCCUAAAAAGAGGAAAAAAAGUUUCAGAUGCUCCGGCAAAAAGAGGCUUACAAUCCAACUUGGCCCUAAUGGGACCCUGUGGGUUGCUGCUGUUGCCUCCAGGCAGGAUGGGAGUGCCCCCCCAUACGGCCCAAGGUCCCUGAGAGCCCCCCCACACCCAGAUCAUCUCCCCAACUCAGGAGUGCAAAUUUCAUUUUGCCACUGCCUCACCGUUUUUCUUAUAAUAGCGAAAUAUUUCUCCCCAGCCAUGUCCCUACCCCAAAGGGCAGAAAACAGAGAUGGAGGAAACUGUGUGUUCUCCAGACAAAACUAGGAGAAGUAUAUUGUUGUAUGGAAGAGAGAGCCUCUGCAUCUCCCAGGAAAAUAUAAAAUGUUGUCUAAAGAUCACAACUGAUGGCGUUCCCUUCAUGGCUCAGCGGUUAACGAACCUGACUAGGAUCCAUGAGGAUGUGGGUUCGAUCCCUCACCUCGCUCAGUAGGUUAAGGAUCUGGCAUUGCCAUGAGCUGUGGUGUAGGUUGCAGAUGCGGCUCGGAUCUGGUGUAGGCCGGCGGCUACAGCUCCAAUUAGACCCCUAGCCUGGGAACCUCCAUGUGCCACGGGUGUGGCCCU
This 3342-nucleotide long non-coding RNA is filed under the name Sus scrofa (pig). RNAcentral's name for it is "lncRNA (ENSSSCG00000052294.1)". The record is from RNAcentral. Lineage: Eukaryota; Metazoa; Chordata; Mammalia; Artiodactyla; Suidae.